GACGAGCGCUGGCGGCGUGCUUAACACAUGCAAGUCGAACGGAUAGGCCCUGCUUUUGUGUGGUGCUCGCGUGGCGAACGUGUGAGUAACACGUGAGUAACCUUCCCUUUACUUUGGGAUAACUUCAGGCAACUGGUGCUAAUACCUGCUAGGAGCUCCUGCUGCAUGGUGGGGUUUGGACAGUUUCAGCUGUUGGGGAUGGACUCGCGGCUUAUCAGCUUGUUGGUGGGGGAGUGGCUUACCAAGGCUUUGACGGGUAGCCGGCCUGAGAGGGGGACCGGGCACAUUGGGACUGAGAUACGGCCCAGAGUGCUACGGGAGGCAACAGUGGGGAAUAUUGCACAAUGGGCGGAAGCCUGAUGCAGAAACGCCGCGUGCGGGAUGACGGCCUUCGGGGUGUAAACCGCUUUCGCCUGUGACGAAGCGGGAGUGACGGUAAUAGGUAAAGAAGCACCGGCUAACUACGUG
RNAcentral lists this ribosomal RNA (468 nucleotides) under uncultured bacterium. Its description in RNAcentral is "partial 16S ribosomal RNA". It matches the Rfam family "Bacterial small subunit ribosomal RNA", at positions 28 to 507 of the family's 1533-position model. The record is from RNAcentral.